GACGAACGCUGGCGGCGUGCUUAACACAUGCAAGUCGAACGGAAAGGCCCUGCUUUUGUGGGGUGCUCGAGUGGCGAACGGGUGAGUAACACGUGAGUAAACUGCCCUUGACUUUGGGGUAACUUCAGGAAACUGGGGCUAAUACCGGAUAGGAGCUCCUGCUGCAUGGUGGGGAUUGGAAAGUUUCGGCGGUUGGGGAUGGACUAGCGGCUUAUCAGCUUGUUGGUGGGGUAGUGGAUUACCAAGGCUAUGACGGGUAGCCGGCCUGAGAGGGUGACCGGCCACAUUGGGCCUGAGAUACGGCCCAGACUCCUACGGGAGGCAGCAGUGGGGAAUAUUGCACAAUGGGCGGAAGCCUGAGGCAGCAACGCCGCGUGCGUGAUGCCGGCCUUCGGGUUGUAAACCGCUGUCGCCUGUGACGAAGCGAGAGUGACGGUAAUGGGUAAAGAAGCACCGGCUAACUACGUG
RNAcentral lists this ribosomal RNA (468 nucleotides) under uncultured bacterium. RNAcentral's name for it is "partial 16S ribosomal RNA". It matches the Rfam family "Bacterial small subunit ribosomal RNA", at positions 28 to 507 of the family's 1533-position model. The record is from RNAcentral.